This 71-nucleotide transfer RNA is filed under the name Hordeum vulgare. Its description in RNAcentral is "tRNA-Val". Lineage: Eukaryota; Viridiplantae; Streptophyta; Magnoliopsida; Poales; Poaceae. The record is from RNAcentral.
GAGGUGUAGUGUAGUGGUAGCGCUUGUGUUUGACAGACCCACGUCGUGGGUUCGAUUCCCUCGGUGCCCCC